UACAGGGGGUGCAAACGUUGCUCGGAAUUAUUGGGCGUAAAGGGCGCGUAGGCGGCUUGACAAGUCAAAGGUGAAAUCCCUCGGCUCAACUGAGGAACUGCCUUUGAAACUGUCUGGCUUGAGGCCGGGAGGGGGUAGCGGAAUUCCCAGUGUAGCGGUGAAAUGCGUAGAUAUCAAGAGGAACACCGGUGGCGAAGGCGGCUCUCUGGUCCAUGUCUGACGCUGAGGCGCGAAAGCUAGGGGAGCAAACGGG
This 253-nucleotide ribosomal RNA is filed under the name uncultured bacterium. Its description in RNAcentral is "partial 16S ribosomal RNA". It matches the Rfam family "Bacterial small subunit ribosomal RNA", at positions 524 to 776 of the family's 1533-position model. The record is from RNAcentral.